Molecule: ribosomal RNA, 301 nt
Filed under: uncultured bacterium
Lineage: Bacteria
Description: partial 16S ribosomal RNA
Rfam family: Bacterial small subunit ribosomal RNA
Source: RNAcentral
CAGUAGCCGCGUAAUACGAAGGGGGCUAGCGUUGCUCGGAAUGACUGGGCGUAAAGGGCGCGUAGGCGGCGGCCAAAGUCAGGCGUGAAAUUCCCGGGCUCAACCUGGGGGCUGCGUUUGAUACUUGGUUGCUUGAGUGGGGAAGAGGGUCGUGGAAUUCCCAGUGUAGAGGUGAAAUUCGUAGAUAUUGGGAAGAACACCGGUGGCGAAGGCGGCGACCUGGUCCUUUACUGACGCUGAGGCGCGAAAGCGUGGGGAGCAAACAGGAUUAGAUACCCCUGUAGUCCCUGUCUCUUACACC